GGUGUGUUCCGACGUUCAAGGCCGGACGGGUUCACUUGAGAUUCCGGCACAGAAGCAAAUCUGAGGAGCCGUGGGAAUGCCUGAUGGUAAUCCGGCAACUAGACAAGAAUGAGGGGUGUUGCGAUCUUGCCCUCUGGUGUCAGCGGCUGUGCCUCGAGGGGUUGGGAAAAGAAAAUGACUCUGACAUUUCAAAGAAAUGAAAAACUCAGAAAGAAGAUUUGACUUGCUCUCUACCUGCAUCUAAGAAUUUGGACAGAAGACCUGCUUCAGGAAGGCAGGUAUCAUCAAAGGUUCAUCAUGUACUAUUUCGCAACAUUCAAUUGAAUUUUGAGAACCAUGAGGCCUAAUGUGUAGGCAGAGUGAUUUCUUUGGAACGCCUUUCAACUGUUUAUGAAAAAAGAAGAAAAAUGGAGAAAAAUUAACCUGCAAUGAGUAUACCAGAAAAAUUUUGAUUCAACCUACUCGAUAUUAGGAUAAAACUUACUCAGGCUGUUAAACGUCAAGGUAAAGAAAUCUUUCACCAGGCACCUAGAAAGAAGAAACAAAAUACAAAUAAAGAAGAAAGAUCAGAAAAGUCUCAUACUUUCUCUGCAGAAAUACGUUGUGCUUAGAGACAGUGGAACAAUGUCUAAAAGCAAAAGGAAGAGGAGUGUAAUCCAAUAAUUUUAUAGCCAGCUAAGAUGUUUUUCAAGUAUAAAUGGAGAACAGAGACCAGUGAAAACAUAAUAUAACUAAAGAAUUUAUGGCAUAUGAGAUCAACUGGAAUAAAAUAUUCAAGUAUACAAAGCCUUAUAAAUCACCACUGAAAAAAAUCUAUUUCUUUUAAAAGUAAAACUGAACAUCCUUGAAGAACAUAAAAUAUAAACAUGAAUAAUGUAUUAAUAUAUUUUACAAAUGGUGUAAUGUAGGCAGAGGAGUCAUGGAAAUACGUGGCAUGCCAUCGUCUUUCAUUUAUGGAAGGAAGUUAACAUAUUUUUUAAAAAUAAAGACCUGUGGUCAAAGCUAUUGCUUAUAUCUUAUGAGUAAAAUAUUAUCUUAAUUUCCAGUUUUUUUAACAUGCAGCAAC
Molecule: long non-coding RNA, 1066 nt
Organism: Artibeus jamaicensis (Jamaican fruit-eating bat)
Lineage: Eukaryota; Metazoa; Chordata; Mammalia; Chiroptera; Phyllostomidae
Exons: 4
Source: RefSeq, a predicted model, not a curated record